Molecule: long non-coding RNA, 323 nt
Organism: Anneissia japonica
Lineage: Eukaryota; Metazoa; Echinodermata; Crinoidea; Comatulida; Comatulidae
Exons: 3
Source: RefSeq, a predicted model, not a curated record
AGUCUGAGUGGACUCUCUUCUGUACCCUUUCUUUGCUCUAUGCGAUAGACUGACAUCUGAGCAGCAGUGUGGUGGUGUCGCUGUGCAGUAGUACAGUCAUAGGUGAUGUUCUAGUAUUUUAGUAGUGUUAAAAAUAAGGAAUAAAAGCGGCCUUGAAAUUGAAGAUUUGGUUAUAGAAAGCAAUGGAGACAGAUACACUACUUGAACCACCUUCUAAAAGGUACAAGACCACACCUGUUGAUGACUUCUACUUCAAGUCUUAUGCAGAUCUCGAUGUACAUGCAGAAAUGAUUUCAGAUUCAGUUAGAACCAACACAUACAGG